UACGUAGGGGGCGAGCGUUACUCGGAAUUACUAGGCGUAAAGGGCAGGUAGGUGGUCUGAUAAGUCUGUUGUGUAAGCUCCCGGCUUAACUGGGAGAGGUCAACAGAUACUAUUAGGCUUGAGUAUAGGAGAGGGUACUGGAAUUCCCGGUGUAGCGGUGAAAUGCGCAGAGAUCGGGAGGAACACCAAUGGCGAAAGCAGGUACCUGGACUAUUACUGACACUAAGCUGCGAAAGCUAGGGGAGCAAACAGG
This 253-nucleotide ribosomal RNA is filed under the name uncultured bacterium. RNAcentral describes it as "partial 16S ribosomal RNA". It matches the Rfam family "Bacterial small subunit ribosomal RNA", at positions 524 to 776 of the family's 1533-position model. The record is from RNAcentral.